AAGCCGUUCCAGAUUACAAAGAAAACGGUCAGUCGAUAACUAUUUUAGGUUUUUGGUAUUUUUGGAAACGCACGAAAAAUAGCAGAACAAUUUAAAUCACGAAAAUGUGGUCGUCGUAUAAACUCUGGUGUCCCGGCUCUGCUCCUCUUCAUGCUCUCACCUCUGUGCUGCUUCCCAGAUUUGAGCCCUGAGCCAGCCAUCACAACAACACGAUGUGCAAUUUUUGCUUGUGCUGAUAAACAGCAUCCCUAUUGAUUGGAAACAUUCCUCGUAAUCCUCUCUGUCCUCGUGUACACCCAUGUGAGUGUGGGUGUAUUCACGAGGACUCCGUUUUUCCGUCAUUCCACUUUUCUGCGGAUGGAGCACUUGUGGAUGCCUGGCCGUACUUCCCAGGCUUAAAAGGUAGGUAAGAUAUAUCUUUACUCUUCCUUUUUGACUAUAUGGUUAGGUCACUUAGUACGGUGUACAAUUAUUCUGAGACAUGUCAUUGACUGGAACUUUUGUUUCUCGAUUGCUGUUUUUGUUUACUCAGUUAGGACUCAUUAAAUAAGUCAUUUGUAGAACAACUGCAGAUCAGGCCUGUUUUUGUACCUCACAGCUUUGUCUUUGGAUAAACAAUCAAUUUUUAAAAAUCUUUUUACUUUGAACACUUCAAUCAAGUGCAACUAUAAAAAAUUGUAUGGCCAAUAGGGCCCCCUCCUCCUCCUCCUGUUACCACAGAACUGGGAGAGGGACCUUGCAUAGAGAUGACAGUUCGUUCCUAUUUGAUGAAAUGCGUGGGAUCCAACAAUUGGUUUCAGUUCACGAGGUUCCUACCAUUGACUGCGCCAACGAAUAAAUUAAUAAUUUAGAGAUGCGUGAUCCUCUCAUUUGAAUUGGAAUUUGUUUUCUUCUUUCACCUUUUUCUU
Long non-coding RNA from Daphnia pulicaria, 908 nucleotides. RefSeq lists it as uncharacterized. The record is from RefSeq and is a predicted model, not a curated record. Lineage: Eukaryota; Metazoa; Arthropoda; Branchiopoda; Diplostraca; Daphniidae. The transcript has 3 exons.